RNAcentral lists this ribosomal RNA (118 nucleotides) under Pteropus alecto (black flying fox). The record is from RNAcentral. Lineage: Eukaryota; Metazoa; Chordata; Mammalia; Chiroptera; Pteropodidae.
GUCUACGGCCAUGCCCCUUGAACACACCCAAUCUCAUCUGAUCUUGGAAGCUAAGCAGGUUCGGGCAUGCUUAGUGCUUGGAUGGGAGACCAUCUAGGAAUACCGGGUGCUGUAGGUG